CAUUUUAAUAUCUUACCGAUUAACUAAAUCUGAUUUUAAGAGAAAAUUAAAUUUUCUAAAAAAAGUAACUUUUUCAAAAAUAAAUGUGAUUAUGAAAUUUUAUAUUCUUUAUAUAUGGGGACAGGAGUAAGAACGGCACAUCAUUCAAAGUUUAGACGUCAAUCAAGCUUAUACCACAUCAUAAGAGAAAAUAUAACGAUGAAUAAUAGUUGGUAGGAGUGGGGGACAUAAUAUUCGGACAAAAAUUCAGUGUAGGAAUGACAAACAAUAUUCACAUGAAUUUCGAUAAAAUAAUAACCUCAGACCCCAACAGGCCGAAUUUACUUUCUUCCAAUCACCCAUUGAACCAUGGAAAGAGUCAAAAUUCUUUAUCUUUAGCCAAUUCUCUUACCUACAACAAAUACCAACGCUUUUUAACCCUGCUAUCUACCUUAAGGACAAGCAUAUCCAGAUAUAUACUGAGUUGCAGGAAAAAAAAGAGACAGAAAUCUAUCUCAACGUUUAUUGGAACUCCCGGCGCAUCUAACAAUAUGGUGUCAUCAAAUUCAAAGCAUCGCGACAUUAAGAAUAUUAUUUACAACUCGAAUUUAGUCAAGAAUAUUCCCCCAUCUUCUUUGAGGUUUUCUAAAGGGUCAUUGGAGAAAGAUUAUUCCUAUAUAAAUGACAUAAUGAAGAGAAGUGGCUUUGUCAACGCCAAUAUACUCACUAACGGUAACAAAGUUGGUUCUAUAGAUUUAAAUUUUCCGCAGGUAGGAAGUUAUUCCGGUGUUGACAUCUCUCCUUCUGUUAUAGUCUUCAUUUUCGGUGGCCCUGGGUCUUUCAAAAGCGAGAUAGCUUCCAACAUUAUAGAUAUGUUCGAAUACGAAUACAUUUCCGCCAACAACAUUAUUCUAGAAUAUCUGAUGACCCAUCUGGAUAAUCAAAUGUUACCCUCAGAACUAAAAGAAUAUGCCGAGAAUUACCCCAGUCUAUUUUCCCUGACAAAUACCUUAAAUGCUAUCAAAUCGAUUAUAGACGCGAAAAAUUCAAACAAUCUUCCUUCAAAUAAACUUAGAGAUAGCAGUCCAAAAAAUGCUUAUGAUUUUUCGCUGAACCAUAUUUCCCCCAAGUUACCGACACAAAAGUGUUUUUUGGUCGACAUUAUGCCUUGCUUAAAAUUCUUGCCAACUGGGACUGAUUACUUUGUGGAUCCCACGGCUGAAUUGAAGCAAUUCGAACUAACGCACCCCAUCAGAUUCGCUAUCUCACUUAGUAUAGGCGAAAACAGGAUUUCCAGUUUCGUUUCGGGUUCAACUCUCAUAAAAAGACCCAAAUACACUCUUAACAAAAAGAAAGGUCAUACGGCUAAAUUAACGCAAAAUUCGGUUCUCUCCCUAGAAAAUUCAAAUCCUGCCGAACAACAAACACUUCAAAGUAGUACCUUUGAAGGGUUAUUGGAAUCUGUUAAAAAGCCCAAUAAACUAAAUGGGGAAACCAGGAUCGAUAAUGACCAAGUGGUAUUGUUGGAGAACGAGCUUAGCGAAGGAAAUAAUGACAAGUCAGAGGCCGAAUCAGUGGCAAAAGCCAAUGACGAAGAGGAGAAGUGCCGAUUGAAGCGUCGUAUAUUUAAGUAUCAGCAAAAUUCCGAAGAUUUCCUCCAAUACUUUAGAACCUCAUCUCGCUUAGUCAUUUUCGAUGUUGCGAGCAACGAUUUCGGCACUAUAUGGAGGAGGGUUAGAAGGUUCAUGCUGGCUUUCCAUGAUUCCACAAAAGCAGAAGGAACUAAACUGGAGAACGUUUCAUUGGUUCCUUUACCUAUCCUGUUAACAACAUUGCCCCCUUCUAUCAAGAAUGCUCAACAAAUCCAUUUAAUAUUCAAUUUCAAAAGUUGGUCCAUUAAACCGUCUAUUUGCAAAGGACUCAACAUAAAACAAGUCAAAUUGCAAAAUAUUUGUAAACUAAAAAGAUUGGAGAGUCCGGAAAGAAAUCUAGAAGAUUUAUUGCAUUACGUAUCUAAAGAAUGCUUUAAUACGCAAGAAAUGUUUGUGAUCGAUUGCUCAAAGACGAGUCUCAUGAACAUACCAUUUUUCCUUCAUGAGGUAAUAUCCGUACACAAUAGCGUAACAACCAGGGCUGCUGAGGUUGCACCGUAAUGAAGCUCGGGCUAUAUAAAAACUUGCCAGAAUUUUUGAGAGGCCUAAAAAAUAACAAUAGUAGCGGCAUUGUUACUCCACUGAAUAAUAAAACUAUUAUAAAAGCAAAAAAAUUGAUUGAAAAUGAUAACAAAAUUUAAGCACUCUAAAUUAGUGUUGUAAAAUGGCUCGAUUUGGCUAAUUUUAAUUUGAUUUUAGCCAAAAUAAUAUUGUGCAAGCCUCGAUAUCCUAACCCUAAUCCAAUAUAGUCCAAACCUUUAACUCCAGAAGAAAAAUAAGAAAGGAGUUAUGGCCAAACGCUCUAAACACUUACUUUUCCUCGAAUCCAACAAAAAUCCCAUAAGGCUGAGCGAAAUAGCACACAUUUACCUUCACGGGUUAGGAGGCAGUAGCAAGAAACUCAU
Gordionus sp. m RMFG-2023 is the source of this 2536-nucleotide RNA transcript. RefSeq lists it as uncharacterized. NCBI's taxonomy places the organism in Eukaryota, Metazoa, Nematomorpha, Gordioida, Chordodea, Parachordodidae. The record is from RefSeq and is a predicted model, not a curated record. The transcript has 8 exons.